Molecule: ribosomal RNA, 261 nt
Filed under: uncultured bacterium
Lineage: Bacteria
Description: partial 16S ribosomal RNA
Rfam family: Bacterial small subunit ribosomal RNA
Source: RNAcentral
GUCCACGCCCUAAACUAUGAAUACUCGGUCUUGGCGAUAUACAGUCAGGGCCCAAGCGAAAGCGUUAAGUAUUCCACCUGGGAAGUACGAUCGCAAGAUUGAAACUCAAAGGAAUUGACGGCGGCCCCGCACAAGCGGAGGAGCAUGUGGUUUAAUUCGAUGAUACGCGAGAAACCUUACCUGGGCUUGAAUGUGAGUGACCGGUGCCGAAAGGUACUUUCCCCGCAAGGGGCACAAAACAAGGUGCUGCAUGGCUGUCGU